CAUGCACCAGUGGGGUCCCUCGGCCUGGUCUGUGCCCUCUCACAAUCUGGGACCCCUUGGGGGAUGUUGGACUGGCAGUUUUGGCCCGAUCCCCACAGGCCAGGCCGAGGGACCCCACUGGUGCAUG
Molecule: microRNA precursor, 127 nt
Filed under: Myotis brandtii (Brandt's bat)
Lineage: Eukaryota; Metazoa; Chordata; Mammalia; Chiroptera; Vespertilionidae
Description: mir-9193 microRNA precursor family
Rfam family: mir-9193 microRNA precursor family
Source: Rfam by way of RNAcentral